AAGUAGCUGGCGCAGCUACCAUGCAGUCGAGCGGAACAAAGUAGCUUGCUACUCUGGCGUCGAGCGGCGGACGGGUGAGUAAUGCUUGGGAACAUGCCUUGAGGUGGGGGACAACAGUUGGAAACGACUGCUAAUACCGCAUAAUGUCUACGGACCAAGGGGGGCUUCGGCUCUCGCCUUUAGAUUGGCCCAAGUGGGAUUAUCUAGUUGGUGAGGUAAUGGCUCACCAAGGCGACGAUCCCUAUCUGGUUUGAGAGGAUGAUCACCCACACUGGGACUGAGACACGGCCCACACUCCUACGGGAGGCAGCAGUGGGGAAUAUUGCACAAUGGGCGCAAGCCUGAUGCACCCAUGCCGCGUGUGUGAAGAAGGCCUUCGGGUUGUAAAGCACUUUCAGUCAGGAGGAAAGGUUAGUAGUUAAUACCUGCUAUCUGUGACGUUACUGACAGAAGAAGCACCGGCUAACUCCGUGCCAGCAGCCGCGGUAAUACGGAGGGUGCGAGCGUUAAUCGGAAUUACUGGGCGUAAAGCGUACGCAGGCGGUUUGUUAAGCGAGAUGUGAAAGCCCCGGGCUCAACCUGGGAACUGCAUUUCAAACUGGCAAACUAGAGUGUGAUAGAGGGUGGUAGAAUUUCAUGUGUAGCGGUGAAAUGCGUAGAGAUCUGAAGGAAUACCGAUGGCGAAGGCAGCCACCUGGGUCAACACUGACGCUCAUGUACGAAAGCGUGGAGAGCAAACAGGAUUAUAUACCCUGGGUACUCA
Molecule: ribosomal RNA, 763 nt
Filed under: Pseudoalteromonas sp.
Lineage: Bacteria; Pseudomonadati; Pseudomonadota; Gammaproteobacteria; Alteromonadales; Pseudoalteromonadaceae
Description: bacterial SSU rRNA
Rfam family: Bacterial small subunit ribosomal RNA
Source: RNAcentral